GAAGGUAUAGAUUAGUGGUAGAGCGCAUGCUUAGCAUGCAUGGUGCACGAGGUCCUGGGUUCAAUUCCCAAUACCUCCA
RNAcentral lists this transfer RNA (79 nucleotides) under Camelus bactrianus (Bactrian camel). It matches the Rfam family "tRNA". From Rfam's summary of the family: Transfer RNA (tRNA) molecules are approximately 80 nucleotides in length. Their secondary structure includes four short double-helical elements and three loops (D, anti-codon, and T loops). Further hydrogen bonds mediate the characteristic L-shaped molecular structure. tRNAs have two regions of fundamental functional importance: the anti-codon, which is responsible for specific mRNA codon recognition, and the 3' end, to which the tRNAs corresponding amino acid is attached (by aminoacyl-tRNA synthetases). tRNAs cope with the degeneracy of the genetic code in two manners: having more than one tRNA (with a specific anti-codon) for a particular amino acid; and 'wobble' base-pairing, i.e. permitting non-standard base-pairing at the 3rd anti-codon position. The record is from Rfam by way of RNAcentral. Lineage: Eukaryota; Metazoa; Chordata; Mammalia; Artiodactyla; Camelidae. RNAcentral also lists the same sequence under 1 other name.